RNAcentral lists this unclassified non-coding RNA (333 nucleotides) under fungal sp. RNAcentral's name for it is "partial internal transcribed spacer region". The stretch from base 1 to 46 matches the Rfam family "Eukaryotic small subunit ribosomal RNA", at positions 1786 to 1831 of the family's 1831-position model. The record is from RNAcentral. Lineage: Eukaryota; Fungi.
AAGUCGUAACAAGGUUUCCGUAGGUGAACCUGCGGAAGGAUCAUCAUUGAAUUAUCCAUUCUACAAACCCUGUGAACUGUAUGUAAAAGAGCGUUUGGCAGGAAGAUUUGGCUGGCUGGCUGACUAGCAGUAGCUAGUCGCUCGCCGCCAAGUCGUGUCUCUCUGCGGGGGGUGGUGGUGGCUUAGCCUCUCAUGGUUGCGCCGCCGGUUAACUCUUGCAGCAGAUGAGCGACUGCCAUUUGCUCGCAUUUAAAUAAAAACGCUUUAAACAAUUAUUACUGAUACAAAUAAUAAACUAUAAAACAACUUUCAACAACGGAUCUCUUGGCUCUC